RNAcentral lists this non-coding RNA (45 nucleotides) under Trichobilharzia regenti. Lineage: Eukaryota; Metazoa; Platyhelminthes; Trematoda; Strigeidida; Schistosomatidae. The record is from RNAcentral.
AUUCAGAUGAGGAGUCUCAAACAGGACUAAAUUCGCAUCCUGGAU